Molecule: ribosomal RNA, 429 nt
Filed under: Bacillota bacterium
Lineage: Bacteria; Bacillati; Bacillota
Description: Firmicutes bacterium partial 16S ribosomal RNA
Rfam family: Bacterial small subunit ribosomal RNA
Source: RNAcentral
UAGGGAAUCUUCCGCAAUGGACGAAAGUCUGACGGAGCAACGCCGCGUGAGUGAUGAAGGUUUUCGGAUCGUAAAACUCUGUUGUUAGGGAAGAACAAGUAUCGGAGUAACUGCCGGUACCUUGACGGUACCUAACCAGAAAGCCACGGCUAACUACGUGCCAGCAGCCGCGGUAAUACGUAGGUGGCAAGCGUUGUCCGGAAUUAUUGGGCGUAAAGCGCGCGCAGGUGGUUCUUUAAGUCUGAUGUGAAAGCCCACGGCGCAACCGUGGAGGGUCAUUGGAAACUGGGGAACUUGAGUGCAGAAGAGGAAAGUGGAAUUCCAAGUGUAGCGGUGAAAUGCGUAGAGAUUUGGAGGAACACCAGUGGCGAAGGCGACUUUCUGGUCUGUAACUGACACUGAGGCGCGAAAGCGUGGGGAGCGAACAGG